GACGAACGCUGGCGGCGUGCUUAACACAUGCAAGUCGAACGGAAAGGCCUGCUUUCCCUUGUGGGUUGCGGGUACUCGAGUGGCGAACGGGUGAGUAACGCGUGAGUGAUCUGCCCCCAACUUGGGUAUAAGCCUGGGAAACUGGGUCUAAUUCCCGAUAGGACUGCAGGGUGGUGCCUGUGGUGGAAAACGAUUUUCUAGUGGUUGGGGAUGAGCUCGCGGCCUAUCAGCUUGUUGGUGGGGUAAUGGCCUACCAAGGCGGCGACGGGUAGCCGGCCUGGGAGGGUGGACGGCCACAUUGGAACUGAGAUACGGCCAAGACUCCUACGGGAGGCAGCAGUGGGGAAUAUUGCACAAUGGGCGGAAGCCUGAUGCAGCGACGCCGCGUGGGGGAUGACGGCCUUCGGGUUGUAAACUCCUUUCGACCGCGAGGAAGCCACCUGGUUGGAAGGGUGGUGACGGUAGUGGUAGAAGAAGCACCGGCUAACUACGUG
Molecule: ribosomal RNA, 494 nt
Filed under: uncultured bacterium
Lineage: Bacteria
Description: partial 16S ribosomal RNA
Rfam family: Bacterial small subunit ribosomal RNA
Source: RNAcentral